GAAAUGCGAUAAGUAAUGUGAAUUGCAGAAUUCAGUGAAUCAUCGAAUCUUUGAACGCACAUUGCGCCCAUUAGUAUUCUAUUGGGCAUGCCUGUUCGAGCGUCAUUUCAACCCUUAAGCUCAGCUUAGUGUUGGGAAUCUACCGUGAGUGGUGCUACCCUGUAGUUACCCUGUAGUUCCUCAAAUCCAACGGCGGAGUCAUAGUCAUCUCUGAGCGCAGUAAUUUUUAUCACGCUUUUGAAGAUACUAUAGCCCUAGCCGCUAAACCCCCAAUUUUUAAUGGUUGACCUCGGAUCAGGUAGGAAUACCCGCUGAACUUAA
This 321-nucleotide unclassified non-coding RNA is filed under the name uncultured Phlogicylindrium. RNAcentral's name for it is "sequence contains ITS1". The stretch from base 1 to 105 matches the Rfam family "5.8S ribosomal RNA", at positions 50 to 154 of the family's 154-position model. The record is from RNAcentral. Lineage: Eukaryota; Fungi; Ascomycota; Sordariomycetes.